This 61-nucleotide transfer RNA is filed under the name Leucauge celebesiana. RNAcentral's name for it is "tRNA-Gln". Lineage: Eukaryota; Metazoa; Arthropoda; Arachnida; Araneae; Tetragnathidae. The record is from RNAcentral.
AAUGUUAAAGUGUUUUUGCACUUAAAAAUUUGAUUUUUAAAGAGAUAUAAAUCUAACAUUU